UACGGAGGGUGCGAGUGUUAUUCGGAAUCACUGGGCGUAAAGAGCACGUAGGCGGAUAGGUAAGUCAGAUGUGAAAUCCCGGAGCUCAACUUCGGAACUGCAUUUGAUACUGCUUGUCUUGAGUGUGGUAGAGGGGGGUGGAAUUCCCGGUGUAGAGGUGAAAUUCGUAGAUAUCGGGAGGAACACCAGAGGCGAAGGCGACCCCCUGGGCCAUUACUGACGCUGAGGUGCGAAAGCGUGGGGAGCAAACAGG
This 253-nucleotide ribosomal RNA is filed under the name uncultured bacterium. RNAcentral describes it as "partial 16S ribosomal RNA". It matches the Rfam family "Bacterial small subunit ribosomal RNA", at positions 524 to 776 of the family's 1533-position model. The record is from RNAcentral.